AAAUGGCUGACAGCUCACAAAAGGUGCUUUGC
RNAcentral lists this non-coding RNA (32 nucleotides) under Mus musculus (house mouse). The record is from RNAcentral. Lineage: Eukaryota; Metazoa; Chordata; Mammalia; Rodentia; Muridae.